Molecule: unclassified non-coding RNA, 404 nt
Filed under: soil metagenome
Description: partial contains 5.8S ribosomal RNA, internal transcribed spacer 2, and large subunit ribosomal RNA
Rfam family: 5.8S ribosomal RNA (bases 1-122)
Source: RNAcentral
GAUGAAGAACGUAGCAAAAUGCGAUACUUGGUGUGAAUUGCAGAAUCCCGUGAACCAUCGAGUUUUUGAACGCAAGUUGCGCCCGAAGCCUUUUGGCCGAGGGCACGUCUGCCUGGGCGUCACGCAUCGCGUCGCCCCCCACAAUUCUCCGUAAAGGGAACGUGUGUUUUGGGGGCGGAUAUUGGUCUCCCGUGCUCAUGGCGUGGUUGGUCGAAAUAGGAGUCCUCUCGAUGGACGCACGAACUAGUGGUGGUCGUAAAAACCCUCGUCUUUUGUUUCGUGCUGUUGCUCGCAAGGUAAACUCUUUAAAAACCCCAAUGUGUCGUCUCUUGACGACGCUUCGACCGCGACCCCAGGUCAGGCGGGACUACCCGCUGAGUUUAAGCAUAUCAAUAAGCGGAGGA